This 260-nucleotide ribosomal RNA is filed under the name uncultured archaeon. RNAcentral's name for it is "partial 16S ribosomal RNA". It matches the Rfam family "Archaeal small subunit ribosomal RNA", at positions 748 to 1009 of the family's 1478-position model. The record is from RNAcentral.
CAGCCGUAAACUAUGCGCGUUAGGUGUAUCGGUGACCACGAGUUACCGAGGUGCCGAAGGGAAACCGUGAAACGUGCCGCCUGGGAAGUACGGUCGCAAGGCUGAAACUUAAAGGAAUUGGCGGGGGAGCACAACAACGGGUGGAGCCUGCGGUUUAAUUGGGCUCAACGCCGGACAACUCACCGGGACGACAGCAAUAUGUAGGCCAGGCUGAAGACCUUGCCUGAAUCGCUGAGAGGAGGUGCAUGGCGUAGACGUCU